CAAUAAGCGGAGGAAAAGAAACCAACAGGGAUUGCCUCAGUAACGGCGAGUGAAGCGGCAAAAGCUCAAAUUUGAAAUCUGGCCCUUUCAGGGUCCGAGUUGUAAUUUGUAGAGGAUGCUUCGGGAGUGGCGGCGGUCUAAGUCCCCUGGAACGGGGCGUCAUAGAGGGUGAGAAUCCCGUCUUGGAUCGCAGUGCCGUGACCAUGUGAAGCUCCUUCGACGAGUCGAGUUGUUUGGGAAUGCAGCUCUAAAUGGGUGGUAAAUUUCAUCUAAAGCUAAAUACUGGCUGGAGACCGAUAGCGCACAAGUAGAGUGAUCGAAAGGUUAAAAGCACCUUGAAAAGGGAGUUAAAUAGCACGUGAAAUUGUUGAAAGGGAAGCGCUUGCAACCAGACUCUGCCUCGGAGGCUCAGUGGACACGUGUGUCCAUGCACUCCUCCGGUGGUGGGGCCAGCAUCAGUUCUGACGGUCGGUCAAAGGCCCCUGGAAUGUAUCGUCCUCCGGGACGUCUUAUAGCCAGGGGUGCAAUGCGGCCAGUCGGGACUGAGGAACGCGCUUCGGCUCGGAUGCUGGCGUAAUGGUUGUAAGCGACCCGUCUUGAAACAC
RNAcentral lists this ribosomal RNA (605 nucleotides) under Sporendonema rubrum. RNAcentral describes it as "eukaryotic LSU rRNA". It matches the Rfam family "Eukaryotic large subunit ribosomal RNA", at positions 44 to 662 of the family's 3401-position model. The record is from RNAcentral. Lineage: Eukaryota; Fungi; Ascomycota; Eurotiomycetes; Onygenales; Gymnoascaceae.